UACGGAAGGCAGCAGUGGGGAAUAUUGCACAAUGGGCGCAAGCCUGAUGCAGCCAUGCCGCGUGUAUGAAGAGGGCCUUCGGGUUGUAAAGUACUUUCAGUCGUGAGGAAGGUGUUAAGGUUAAUAACCUUAGCAAUUGACGUUAGCGACAGAAGAAGCACCGGCUAACUCCGUGCCAGCAGCCGCGGUAAUACGGAGGGUGCGAGCGUUAAUCGGAAUUACUGGGCGUAAAGGGCACGCAGGCGGUUAAUUAAGUUGGAUGUGAAAUCCCCGGGCUUAACCUGGGAAUGGCAUUCAAGACUGGUUAGCUAGAGUCUUGUAGAGGGGGUAGAAUUCCAUGUGUAGCGGUGAAAUGCGUAGAGAUGUGGAGGAAUACCGGUGGCGAAGGCGGCCCCUGGGACAAAGACUGACGCUCAUGUGCGAAAGCGUGGGGAGCAAACAGGGAUUAGAUACC
This 454-nucleotide ribosomal RNA is filed under the name uncultured bacterium. Its description in RNAcentral is "bacterial SSU rRNA". It matches the Rfam family "Bacterial small subunit ribosomal RNA", at positions 340 to 786 of the family's 1533-position model. The record is from RNAcentral.